Molecule: ribosomal RNA, 497 nt
Filed under: uncultured bacterium
Lineage: Bacteria
Description: partial 16S ribosomal RNA
Rfam family: Bacterial small subunit ribosomal RNA
Source: RNAcentral
GAUUAACGCUGGCCUCGUGCCUAAUACAUGUAAUUCUAGCGAACAGACUAGGAUCUUGCUCCUCUUACGUUAGCGGCGGACAGGUUAGUAACACGUUAAUAACCUACAUAUAAGACUGUGAUUACUUCGUUAAACCGGAGCUAUUACCCGUCACUCUUUUUAACCCUCUGGUUCAAUACUUAAAGACGGUUUUGCUUUUUCUUAUUACUGGCUCCUCGCCGCAUUAGCUAGUUGGUAAGGUAACGGCUUACCAAGGCAACAAUGCGUAGCCGACCUGAGAGGGUGAUCGGCCACACUGGAACUGAGACACGGUCCAGACUCCUACGGGAGGCAGCAGUAGGGAAUCUUCCGCAAUGGGCGAAAGCCUGACGGAGCAAAGCAGCGUGAGUGAUGAAGGUCUUCGGAUCGUAAAACUCUGUUAUUAGGGAAGAACAAAUGUGUAAGUAACUAUGCACGUCUUGACGGUACCUAAUCAGAAAGCCACGGCUAACUACGUG